This 119-nucleotide ribosomal RNA is filed under the name Lepisosteus oculatus (spotted gar). Lineage: Eukaryota; Metazoa; Chordata; Actinopteri; Semionotiformes; Lepisosteidae. The record is from RNAcentral.
UCCAGCAGCCAUAUUACCCUGCAACUAACAACUGGCAAACCACUGAAGCUAAGCAGGUGUGAGCCUGGCAAGUACUUGGAUAGGAGACCUCCUGGGAAAAACUAAGGUUGGUUCUGGAA